Bacillus rossius redtenbacheri is the source of this 1823-nucleotide long non-coding RNA. RefSeq lists it as uncharacterized. NCBI's taxonomy places the organism in Eukaryota, Metazoa, Arthropoda, Insecta, Phasmatodea, Bacillidae. The record is from RefSeq and is a predicted model, not a curated record. The transcript has 2 exons.
GUUUGUGGUAGAUUUUGGUCGAGUGAAAGAUGGAUUUUACAAUGGAGUUUGAUUUAUCAUUUUGAAUUAUUUUCCUAUAUGAUUGUGAAUUAAGAAGCCGAUGAAGAUGCCUGUGAAUACACAUCAAUGUUUUGUGUCUUCGUGCAGGAACAGUAUUACUGUUAAUCCUGAUGUGACAACAUUCAGAUUUCCAUGAAGCCGAAGCAAGUUAUUGAAGUGGAUUGCUGCAAUUGGCUAUGACCUUGAUGCCAGUAAUGCUGAAACAUUUAAAACUAAAUAUGUAUGUUCCGAACAUUUUGAUAUUGGAGCUUUCACUACAUGUGACUGCAUCAAAUUGAAUCGUGGUGCUGCUACAACAUAUUUUAAUUCUGUGGACAGUGAAGUAUGGAUCUAUUGUUAUAAUUUAUUAUGUCUAGAAUGCUGCCAAAUAUAGGUGAAAUGUUUAUGUUACAUAACAUAACUUGUAAGAUCUACUUGUGCAGAUAUAUAUUUUCACCUGCCUCUAAGGUCCUUUGUUAUUCACAGGUAGCAUUUACAUGUGAUGAAGCAGUAUUUAACAUUAUUGGUCAACAUGCAGUCCAUCAUUACAACCUUUGUACAGGCGCAUACAAACAUAUAUGUGUGGGGUAUUUCACACUUUUUAUUUGAUGUUAAAGAUUGGUAUGGUGACCGGGAUACUUUUUUUUAUUAAACCUCCUACACAGUUCUCUACUGUUUCCCUUAUCUGUUGCCUUAACAUUUUUUUCCGAUCAGUCCAAUUCCUUGAAUCACAUUGCAAAAAAAGUCACAAUACAUGGGAUUGGGCCACUCUCUUCAAAGAAUUGUAAUUCGAGUUUAAACAUAGCAAGGCUGACCAUAAAUUGUAGAGGAAAAUUUAAAAUGUUGAUCUUCAACAUAUUUAUAACCUAUGCUCAUGUGAUGUAUAUACAGCUAGUUAGAAAGUAAGUUGUAGUAUAGUAUGCAAUUGAACCUUCAAUAAGUUCUACAUCCACACUUAAAAACUUAUUUUACUUGAUGUUUUAUGUUCAAUAACUAUUCAGUAUAAAGGUUUUUUUUUACAUUAUAAACUACAAAAGUAUUCCGAUUUGUAAAUGUAAUGAAAUUCCACUGAGCCCUCUACCUUUUUUUUAACUACCAUUUCUGCCGUGUGGCCUUUUUUUUCUUACUUUUGUGUUCAUUAUAAGUUACAACCACUCAUUUGAUUUAUUGUGUUAAAUUAAAUGAUAUUUAAAAUUGGAUGUCACUUCAUAAGAACAUUCAGGAUUACCUGUAUUCACAGCGCACAAUUAUACAAAAGUUUUUUAUGUAUGUAAAAGUGUUUUACGUAAGCCAGUGGACACAUACAUGUAUUGAGUAACAUGAGAAAAUUGAAAUAUCUAAAAUAAAAUUAAAAGGUUACAAGCUUUUAUAUACAUGCAGCUCCCAAAAAAGUCUGCAUACUAAAAAAUAACACAUGCUUUUAAAUGAAUUCUUACCAUCUUAUAAACUAGUAGUAUUUUGUUAUUUGAUUUCAAAUGAAUUGUUUUUGGUUAAUUUAUUUGACUGUAGGGAUUAAAUAUCAUUUGUAGAAUAAAGUGUGAAAAGUAGUAUUGAUCAAUUUAACUGUAAGUACUAAAUAUGUGUUACAUUUCUUGUAAGUUAAAAUUGUUCAGGUAUUAUAAAUUAGCUGAAAAAAGCAAACUCAUGACUAGAAUAAAUUGUACUGUUAGGUAUGUUUCGAAGAAAGACUACCUGUUGCAGUCGUUACCAUGUGUAUGUACCACAUUUUUAUUGUCAUUAUAACUGCCAUAAUUUUGUACAAAUAAAUCACUUAAUACAUAAAA